This 817-nucleotide ribosomal RNA is filed under the name uncultured bacterium. RNAcentral describes it as "bacterial SSU rRNA". It matches the Rfam family "Bacterial small subunit ribosomal RNA", at positions 8 to 796 of the family's 1533-position model. The record is from RNAcentral.
AGAGUUUGAUCAUGGCUCAGGACGAACGCUGGCGGCGUGCCUAAUACAUGCAAGUUGAACGCUAAAGCUUUAACUGGUGCUUGCACCGACCUAAGUUUUUAGAGUAGCGGACGGGUGAGUAACACGUGGGUAACCUGCCCAUCAGAGGGGGAUAACACUUGGAAACAGGUGCUAAUACCGCAUAAUUCCUUUUACCGCAUGGUAAAAGGCUGAAAGGCGCUUCUGGUGUCACUGAUGGAUGGACCCGCGGUGCAUUAGCUAGUCGGUGGGGUAACGGCCUACCGAGGCGAUGAUGCAUAGCCGACCUGAGAGGGUGAUCGGCCACAUUGGGACUGAGACACGGCCCAAACUCCUACGGGAGGCAGCAGUAGGGAAUCUUCGGCAAUGGACGAAAGUCUGACCGAGCAACGCCGCGUGAGUGAAGAAGGUUUUCGGAUCGUAAAACUCUGUUGUUAGAGAAGAACAGGAGAAGUAGUAACUGGCUUCUUUUUGACGGUAUCUAACCAGAAAGCCACGGCUAACUACGUGCCAGCAGCCGCGGUAAUACGUAGGUGGCAAGCGUUGUCCGGAUUUAUUGGGCGUAAAGCGAGCGCAGGCGGUUUCUUAAGUCUGAUGUGAAAGCCCUCGGCUCAACCGAGGAGGGUCAUUGGAAACUGGGAGACUUGAGUGCAGAAGAGGAAAGUGGAACUCCAUGUGUAGCGGUGGAAUGCGUAGAUAUAUGGAAGAACGCCAGUGGCGAAGGCGGCUUUCUGGUCUGUAACUGACGCUGAGGCUCGAAAGCGUGGGGAGCAAACAGGAUUAGAUACCCUGGUAGUCC